GAUAAACGCUGGCGGCGCACAUAAGACAUGCAAGUCGAACGGAAGUCGUUACGAAACGGAAUGACGAUUUAUCUGAAUGAAGUUUUGUAACAAUGGCUUUAGUGGCGGACUGGUGAGUAACACGUAAGCAAUCUGCCUAUUAGAGGGGAAUAACAAUGAGAAAUCAUUGCUAAUACCGCAUAAGCUUGUAAUAUCGCAUGAUAUAGCAAGAAAAGGAGUAAUCCGCUAAUAGAUGAGCUUGCGGCUGAUUAGCUAGUUGGUUAGGUAACGGCUGACCAAGGCGACGAUCAGUAGCCGAACUGAGAGGUUGAUCGGCCACAUUGGGACUGAGACACGGCCCAGACUCCUACGGGAGGCAGCAGUGGGGGAUAUUGCGCAAUGGGGGCAACCCUGACGCAGCAACGCCGCGUGAAGGAAGAAGGUUUUCGGAUCGUAAACUUCUUUAAGUGGGGAAGAUAGUGACGGUACCCACAGAAUAAGCCACGGCUAACUACG
This 495-nucleotide ribosomal RNA is filed under the name uncultured bacterium. RNAcentral's name for it is "bacterial SSU rRNA". It matches the Rfam family "Bacterial small subunit ribosomal RNA", at positions 28 to 505 of the family's 1533-position model. The record is from RNAcentral.